RNAcentral lists this ribosomal RNA (1082 nucleotides) under Escherichia coli. Its description in RNAcentral is "partial 23S ribosomal RNA". It matches the Rfam family "Bacterial large subunit ribosomal RNA", at positions 344 to 1428 of the family's 2925-position model. Lineage: Bacteria; Pseudomonadati; Pseudomonadota; Gammaproteobacteria; Enterobacterales; Enterobacteriaceae. The record is from RNAcentral.
GGAAAGGCGCGCGAUACAGGGUGACAGCCCCGUACACAAAAAUGCACAUGCUGUGAGCUCGAUGAGUAGGGCGGGACACGUGGUAUCCUGUCUGAAUAUGGGGGGACCAUCCUCCAAGGCUAAAUACUCCUGACUGACCGAUAGUGAACCAGUACCGUGAGGGAAAGGCGAAAAGAACCCCGGCGAGGGGAGUGAAAAAGAACCUGAAACCGUGUACGUACAAGCAGUGGGAGCACGCUUAGGCGUGUGACUGCGUACCUUUUGUAUAAUGGGUCAGCGACUUAUAUUCUGUAGCAAGGUUAACCGAAUAGGGGAGCCGAAGGGAAACCGAGUCUUAACUGGGCGUUAAGUUGCAGGGUAUAGACCCGAAACCCGGUGAUCUAGCCAUGGGCAGGUUGAAGGUUGGGUAACACUAACUGGAGGACCGAACCGACUAAUGUUGAAAAAUUAGCGGAUGACUUGUGGCUGGGGGUGAAAGGCCAAUCAAACCGGGAGAUAGCUGGUUCUCCCCGAAAGCUAUUUAGGUAGCGCCUCGUGAAUUCAUCUCCGGGGGUAGAGCACUGUUUCGGCAAGGGGGUCAUCCCGACUUACCAACCCGAUGCAAACUGCGAAUACCGGAGAAUGUUAUCACGGGAGACACACGGCGGGUGCUAACGUCCGUCGUGAAGAGGGAAACAACCCAGACCGCCAGCUAAGGUCCCAAAGUCAUGGUUAAGUGGGAAACGAUGUGGGAAGGCCCAGACAGCCAGGAUGUUGGCUUAGAAGCAGCCAUCAUUUAAAGAAAGCGUAAUAGCUCACUGGUCGAGUCGGCCUGCGCGGAAGAUGUAACGGGGCUAAACCAUGCACCGAAGCUGCGGCAGCGACGCUGAUGCGUUGUUGGGUAGGGGAGCGUUCUGUAAGCCUGCGAAGGUGUGCUGUGAGGCAUGCUGGAGGUAUCAGAAGUGCGAAUGCUGACAUAAGUAACGAUAAAGCGGGUGAAAAGCCCGCUCGCCGGAAGACCAAGGGUUCCUGUCCAACGUUAAUCGGGGCAGGGUGAGUCGACCCCUAAGGCGAGGCCGAAAGGCGUAGUCGAUGGGAAACAG